Molecule: ribosomal RNA, 377 nt
Filed under: Eupelmus vladimiri
Lineage: Eukaryota; Metazoa; Arthropoda; Insecta; Hymenoptera; Eupelmidae
Description: eukaryotic LSU rRNA
Source: RNAcentral
GGCUUCCGUGCGGCUCGCGAUGGCAGGGACCUCGGUCUCGCGUCACGCGUCCGCUGCGGUAUGUCCGGGUGCCGUCGGCGUGCACUUCUCCCCUAGUAGGACGUCGCGACCCGUUGGGUGUCGGCCUACGGCCCGGUCGGUCGACUGUCGCGUCGCGUUAACCCGCGCACGCGGCAGACCACCGGUCGCCCGGCCGACUGCCCGGCGGUAUAGAUCGCUAUUAAACACGGUAUUGGGCCGCAUCAAGUGCGUUCUGGCUCGCCGGCAGGCUCGUCUCGCUCGGAUUUACGGACCUAGCGCCGUUGCCGGGCGCUUGGCGUGGCCGUUAGUCGACGAUGUCCUCGGACUGGCUCUUACAUUCGAACGAAUAUACCGGU